GCCUGGGUGGCUCAGUUGGUUGAGCGUCCGACUUCAGUUCAGGUCAUGAUCUCGCAGUUUGUGGGUUCGAGCCCCGCGUCAGGUU
RNAcentral lists this transfer RNA (85 nucleotides) under Felis catus (domestic cat). It matches the Rfam family "tRNA". From Rfam's summary of the family: Transfer RNA (tRNA) molecules are approximately 80 nucleotides in length. Their secondary structure includes four short double-helical elements and three loops (D, anti-codon, and T loops). Lineage: Eukaryota; Metazoa; Chordata; Mammalia; Carnivora; Felidae. The record is from Rfam by way of RNAcentral.